Small nucleolar RNA from Zingiber officinale, 106 nucleotides. Lineage: Eukaryota; Viridiplantae; Streptophyta; Magnoliopsida; Zingiberales; Zingiberaceae. The record is from RefSeq and is a predicted model, not a curated record.
AAAUCAUGAUGAGGAUAAUGCCAUAAUAAACCCUUAAAUCUAUCUGAUGUUUUAAAUAGUGAUUCUAUAUCUACUUGAGUAAAGCUUGUAAUUCUAUUCCUCAUGU